This 268-nucleotide unclassified non-coding RNA is filed under the name uncultured fungus. RNAcentral's name for it is "partial contains 5.8S ribosomal RNA, internal transcribed spacer 2, and large subunit ribosomal RNA". The stretch from base 1 to 52 matches the Rfam family "5.8S ribosomal RNA", at positions 103 to 154 of the family's 154-position model. The record is from RNAcentral. Lineage: Eukaryota; Fungi.
AACGCACCUUGCGCCUUUUGGUAUUCCGAAAGGCAUGCCUGUUUGAGUGUCAUGAAAACCUCAAUCCCCUCGGGUUUUGUUACCCGUCGGGACUUGGAUCUGGGCGUCUGCCGGUCAAACGGCUCGCCUCAAAAGCGUUAGUGGGAUGGUCCCUCUGGCUUGACGUAAUAAGUUUCGUCUCUGCCCCCGGGACCCAUGUCCGCUCACAACCCAUCAUAACACCUUUUACUCUGACCUCAAAUCAGGUAGGGCUACCCGCUGAACUUAA